Molecule: ribosomal RNA, 460 nt
Filed under: uncultured bacterium
Lineage: Bacteria
Description: partial 16S ribosomal RNA
Rfam family: Bacterial small subunit ribosomal RNA
Source: RNAcentral
CCUACGGGUGGCAGCAGUGAGGAAUAUUGGUCAAUGGGCGCGAGCCUGAACCAGCCAAGUCGCGUGAGGGAAGACGGCCCUACGGGUUGUAAACCUCUUUUGCCGGGGAGCAACGGGCGCCACGUGUGGCGCCCCUGAGAGUCCCCGGAGACAAAGCAUCGGCUAACUCCGUGCCAGCAGCCGCGGUAAUACGGAGGAUGCGAGCGUUAGCCGGUUUGAUUGGGUUAAAAGGGUGCGUAGGCGGAGCGUUAAGUCAGUGGUCAAAUUGAGGGGCUCAACCCCUUCCCGCCAUUGAAACUGGCGCUCUUGAGUGGAAGAGAAGUAGGCGGAAUGCGUGGUGUAGCGGUGAAAUGCAUAGAUAUCACGCAGAACCCCGAUUGCGAAGGCAGCAUGCCGGCUUCCGACUGACGCUGAAGCACGAAAGCGUGGGGAUCGAACAGGAUUAGAUACCCCAGUAGUC